Molecule: ribosomal RNA, 208 nt
Filed under: uncultured bacterium
Lineage: Bacteria
Description: partial 16S ribosomal RNA
Rfam family: Bacterial small subunit ribosomal RNA
Source: RNAcentral
CGCGUAGGCGGCCGAUUAAGUCGGGGUGAAAGCCUGUGGCUCAACCACAGAAUUGCCUUCGAUACUGGUUGGCUUGAGACCGGAAGAGGACAGGCGGAAACUGCGAGUGUAGAGGUGAAAUUCGUAGAUAUUCGCAAGAACACCAGUGGCGAAGGCGGCUGUCUGGUCCGGUUCUGACGCUGAGGCGCGAAAGCGUGGGGAGCAAACA